This 2272-nucleotide small RNA is filed under the name Pan troglodytes (chimpanzee). Its description in RNAcentral is "processed transcript". Lineage: Eukaryota; Metazoa; Chordata; Mammalia; Primates; Hominidae. The record is from RNAcentral.
AGAACAUAGGGUACUCCGAGUGAAGAAUUCAGCAGCUAAGUGGAAGUUGUCUUCUAUUCCACUUUAAAUACUUUUAUCUACUGAAUCUCAAGAAAAUUGGGUUUCUGGUGCUGUCUGUGGUUCAUGAGAAAAAAUCCCAAGAAGGAAAGCCAAAAGAACACACAGAGCCAAAAAGCCUACCCAAGCAGGCAUCAGAUACAGGAAGUAAGGAUGCUCACAAUAAAAAAGCAGUUUCCAGAUCAGCUGAACAGCAGCCAUCAGAGAAAUCAACAGAACCAAAGACUAAACCACAAGACACGAUUUCUACUGGUGGAGAGAGUGUUGCUGGUGUCACUGCAAUAUCUGGCAAGCCGGGUGACAAGAAAAAAGAAAAGAAAUCAUUAACCCCAGCUGUGCCAGUUGAAUCUAAACCGGAUAAACCAUCGGGAAAGUCAGGCAUGGAUGCUGCUUUGGAUGACUUAAUAGAUACUUUAGGAGGACCUGAAGAAACUGAAGAAGAAAAUACAACGUACACUGGACCAGAAGUUUCAGAUCCAAUGAGUUCCACCUACAUAGAGGAAUUGGGUAAAAGAGAAGUCACAAUUCCUCCAAAAUAUAGGGAACUAUUGGCUAAACCCAUGGGGCCAGAUGAUGCUAUAGACGCCUUGUCAUCUGACUUCACCUGUGGGUCGCCUACAGCUGCUGGAAAGAAAACUGAAAAAGAGGAAUCUACAGAAGUUUUAAAAGCUCAGUCAGCAGGGACAGUCAGAAGUGCUGCUCCACCCCAAGAGAAGAAAAGAAAGGUGGAGAAGGAUACAAUGAGUGAUCAAGCACUCGAGGCUCUGUCGGCUUCACUGGGCACCCGGCAAGCAGAACCUGAGCUCGACCUCAGCUCAAUUAAGGAAGUCGAUGAGGCAAAAGCUAAAGAAGAAAAACUAGAGAAGUGUGGUGAGGAUGAUGAAACAAUCCCAUCUGAGUACAGAUUAAAACCAGCCAUGGAUAAAGAUGGAAAACCACUAUUGCCAGAGCCUGAAGAAAAACCCAAGCCUCGGAGUGAAUCAGAACUCAUUGAUGAACUUUCAGAAGAUUUUGACCGGUCUGAAUGUAAAGAAAAACCAUCUAAGCCAACUGAAAAGACAGAAGAAUCUAAGGCCACUGCUCCAGCUCCUGUGGCGGAGGCUGUGUCUCAGACCUCCAUGUGUAGUAUACAGUCAGCACCCCCUGAGCCGGCUGCCUUGAAGGGCACAGUGCCAGAUGAUGCUGUAGAAGCCUUGGCUGAUAGCCUGGGGAAAAAGGAAGCAGAUCCAGAAGAUGGAAAACCUGUGAUGGAUAAAGUCAAGGAGAAGGCUAAAGAAGAAGACCGUGAAAAGCUUGGUGAAAAAGAAGAAACAAUUCCUCCUGAUUAUAGAUUAGAAGAGGUCAAGGAUAAAGAUGGAAAGCCACUCCUGCCAAAAGAGUCUAAGGAACAGCUUCCACCCAUGAGUGAAGACUUCCUUCUGGAUGCUUUGUCUGAGGACUUCUCUGGUCCACAAAAUGCUUCAUCUCUUAAAUUUGAAGAUGCUAAACUUGCUGCUGCCAUCUCUGAAGUGGUUUCCCAAACCCCAGCUUCAACGACCCAAGCUGGAGCCCCACCCCGUGAUACCUCGCAGAGUGACAAAGACCUGGAUGAUGCCUUGGAUAAACUCUCUGACAGUCUAGGACAAAGGCAGCCUGACCCAGAUGAGAACAAACCAAUGGAAGAUAAAGUAAAGGAAAAAGCUAAAGCUGAACAUAGAGACAAGCUUGGAGAAAGAGAUGACACUAUCCCACCUGAAUACAGACAUCUCCUGGAUGAUAAUGGACAGGACAAACCAGUGAAGCCACCUACAAAGAAAUCAGAGGAUUCAAAGAAACCUGCAGAUGACCAAGACCCCAUUGAUGCUCUCUCAGGAGAUCUGGACAGCUGUCCCUCCACUACAGAAACCUCACAGAACACAGCAAAGGAUAAGUGCAAGAAGGCUGCUUCCAGCUCCAAAGCACCUAAGAAUGGAGGUAAAGCGAAGGAUUCAGCAAAGACAACAGAGGAAACUUCCAAGCCAAAAGAUGAUUAAAGAAAUACAAGUUAAGGUAUCUGGUAUCUGCAUGUAAAAUCUUCAGCUGGUGGAUGGUGAUUUUUGAAGAACAAAAGGCUUUGGCAACAGAAAACAAUUGUUCUGGGUGAUUUCUAGAAUGGUUUUUGUUGAGUCUCUGAACAUCCUAAAUAUUGGUUUGUUAUUCUUUUCCAGAAAGAAAAUGAAUUUGACUGGUUCACCUG